RNAcentral lists this transfer RNA (74 nucleotides) under Candidatus Moraniibacteriota bacterium. Its description in RNAcentral is "tRNA-Val". It matches the Rfam family "tRNA". Rfam says of the family: Transfer RNA (tRNA) molecules are approximately 80 nucleotides in length. Their secondary structure includes four short double-helical elements and three loops (D, anti-codon, and T loops). Lineage: Bacteria; Candidatus Moraniibacteriota. The record is from RNAcentral.
GCGCGUAUAGCUCAGUUGGUCAGAGCGCUUGCUCGACACGCAAGAGGUCUCAGGUUCAAAUCCUGAUACGCGCA